UGAAGCACUUCAGUGCUUAAGUUUCUAUUGGAUUAAAAUACAUCCAGAGCAGAAAUGUGGAAGGAAUUUCGCCUGAAACCCAAGAGAUUUGAAAAGCUCUUGCGGACAUGCAAGCUGUGCCAGGAGUCCUGAGUAUCACUCUAUGUCUUCCAAUGUCAUUUCCUGCUACUGGAGUCUUAAGAAAGCUUGACAUGAACACAGUGCUUUGAAGACUGAAAGAAGAAUCAUUCAUGGCUUAUUAUAUGAAGCUCGCAAGUGAUUCGUGCUUGUUUGGUCCUUGUUACUGCCCAGUCUAAUAAACACUA
This is a long non-coding RNA of Pogona vitticeps (central bearded dragon), 305 nucleotides long. RefSeq lists it as uncharacterized. Lineage: Eukaryota; Metazoa; Chordata; Lepidosauria; Squamata; Agamidae. The record is from RefSeq and is a predicted model, not a curated record.